UGGGGAAUAUUGCACAAUGGGCGCAAGCCUGAUGCAGCCAUGCCGCGUGUAUGAAGAAGGCCUUCGGGUUGUAAAGUACUUUCAGCGAGGAGGAAGGCGGUAAGGUUAAUAACCUUAUCGAUUGACGUCACUCGCAGAAGAAGCACCGGCUAACUCCGUGCCAGCAGCCGCGGUAAUACGGAGGGUGCAAGCGUUAAUCGGAAUUACUGGGCGUAAAGCGCACGCAGGCGGUCUGUCAAGUCGGAUGUGAAAUCCCCGGGCUCAACCUGGGAACUGCAUUCGAAACUGGCAGGCUAGAGUCUUGUAGAGGGGGGUAGAAUUCCAGGUGUAGCGGUGAAAUGCGUAGAGAUCUGGAGGAAUACCGGUGGCGAAGGCGGCCCCCUGGACAAAGACUGACGCUCAGGUGCGAAAGCGUGGGGAGCAAACA
This 427-nucleotide ribosomal RNA is filed under the name uncultured bacterium. RNAcentral describes it as "partial 16S ribosomal RNA". It matches the Rfam family "Bacterial small subunit ribosomal RNA", at positions 355 to 774 of the family's 1533-position model. The record is from RNAcentral.